This 42855-nucleotide long non-coding RNA is filed under the name Populus tremula. Its description in RNAcentral is "long non-coding RNA (PTRE_LNC002597)". The record is from RNAcentral. Lineage: Eukaryota; Viridiplantae; Streptophyta; Magnoliopsida; Malpighiales; Salicaceae.
ACAAUUCAUGAACGAACACUUUCUCAACUUUGUCAUUGUAAAAGACAACAGUAAAUUAAAUCGAUCUGCUACUACAGCAACAACAAUCAUAAGAUCGAGUGUGUUGAUUCGUCUUAUAGUAUAAAGAGCAGCUUGUACAAAGCCAGUGGUAUACAAUUUAAUUCAUCAAGUAUUUCAAAUGGGUUAAGCAGGUUCUCUGUAGUAGUGAUAAAGCUGAUCUUUAUGGUUUUAUUACCAGGGUGGUGGUUUCAUUUGUGUUUGGAGGAAGAGAGAAUUGCUCCAUUGGAAAUAAAAAAUUUCCUUUUACCAACCCAUUGUUAACGAAAGAUCGAGCGUGUUGAUUCGUCUUGUAGUAUAAAGAGCAGCUUGAACAAAGCCAGCGGUAUAUUUGUAUACAACCAAAAUUCCUCUAACUACCCAAACGGCGGCGAACACCUGCAAUCUUGGGGAAAAGAAGCCGGCAGUUGUAAUUGGGAAGGUAUUUCCAAUAGAGCAAUUCUCUGUUCCACCAAACACAAAUGAAACCUGGUAAUAAAACCAUGAACAUCAGCUUCAUCACUACUACAGAGAACUUGCUUAACCCAUUUGAAAUACUUGAUGAAUUAAAUUGUAUACCGCUGGCUUUGAGCACUGGAGGGCUGCUCUUUAUAGGAGGAGAGCGCAGUACUGUACCCUACAACCAGCGACGUUGCGCGUUCAUCAUUUAAUUCCACGCUAUCGACCAUGUGGUUUGGAUGGAAUUGGUCGUCGUCAUCACAUGAUUUUCCACGCAUAAUAAAGUCUUCUUUAUUUGGCUUAUUGUCCCAUUGAUGCUUCGAGGAAAUUCUCAGCAUUACAUCAUGCACAGUGCCAGCAGAAAGAUCAUCAAUUCAAUGGACGGUAACACAGGGGUCUCGCCCCCCUCUGUUACGUUCCUUUUACUUUUCACUUUGCCUUGGAAUGACAAUAAAAAAUAUCGGAAUAUCGAGAUUUAAUCCUGCAUUACUAAUUUUUUUUUUUUUUAUUAGAUCAUAAAAUAACUUUCUUAAAUUACUUAUAAGAACUAGAAAUAAUUAAGGGUUAUUUCUCAAACAAAAGAAAAGGUAGUGGCACCAUAAAUACACCAUGCCUAGUUUAGAAAUUUAUACAAGGAUUUAUGCAUAUUCAAGGUUGAUAAUGCAGUUUAACAAGAAAAAAAUAAGAAUUUGGUGGGUUUAUUUUUAUCAACUAAACUAAUAGAAAGAGUCGAAAUCUAGACGGAGGAAAUCACAAAUAAUUAUUGAAGUCACAAAACUUAAAAGACAAGUGAAAAUCAAUGACCCAACCAAAGUCAAGUCAACCGUGAAAACAACCUUUAAUCAUGUGACUUUUUACCUUUUCGAUGGUUUCAAUGGGCUUCUCAUAUGCGCAUGAAAAAUUGAAUUAGAACAUUUUAGUAACCGUGGAAGAUAAUAUCGACUUGUUUUAUCUAUUAAUUUAAAAUAAAAUUUAAAUUUUCACAUUACCAAGAAUGUUUUUAUUGAUGUUGAUAUUAAUAUUGAGGAACUAAAUAAUGCUUUGAUAACCAACGAACAUACAGAACCAACGGACAAAAAUACCAAGAAAAAUGUUAAAAAUAUUAAUAUUUAAUUAUUCAUUGAUAAAACUUUCAUUAAAAAAAAACCCAAAUAAAAACCAGAUUCCCUAAUAUCAUAAAAGACAAGCAUUUCUUCUUCUUAUCUCUUCCUCUUUUGUAAAAAUCAAAAACGUUUCUCUCUAACGGGUAAGUCAAAAACGUUUUACUUUUUUUUUAAUUAACAUAUUAUGUGAAUUUGUUUUUUUAUCUCUGCUCCACUUCACUCACAACAAAAUUAAAGUAGGAUUUUUCUUUUUUCUUUUUUCUUUUUUAUGUUUAUUUUGCAUUAUAUUUGUUUUUCUUUUUUUUUUGUUGAAUUUUUCUGUUCAAUGUUGUUGUUAGAAUUGUUUUCAUAUUAGAAUAGUUUUUUUUUUUUAAUGAAGAGAGUCGUGGUUUCUUCCCAUCUUCCAAGGUUCUUCAAUACGGUGAUCCUUUGUCCCCUUAUUUGUUUAUCCUGACUAUGAAGAAUUUAAAAGGUAUUUUUAAAGAGGCCUCACGGAACUCGAGGUCUUAUUAUCAUUGGCAGUGCCAACAUAAUAUCAUUACUCACUUGUGCUUUACUAAUGACCUUAUGAUCUAUUGUCAAGCAGAUAGAACUCAAUCAAGAUUGUGAGGAAGGCUUUGAAUUAUUUUGCAGGGUUGUUUGGUCUUGUUAUAAAUCCAAAGAAGAGCCCAAUUUUUUUAUCAGGAGUUAAUGAUAAGCUUAGGACAUCUUUACAAGAUCUUUUUGGUUUCAGGUUAGGUUCUCUGCCAAUAAGAUACCUAGUUGUUCUAUUGAUAUCUAUUAAACUAACUCACUCUGAUUAUAAGCCUUUAGUAGAGUGGAUUCUCUCCAAGAUUAAGUUGUGGACCAUAAUUUUAUUUUAUUUUUUUACUUGUAUUGGGUGUCUUCAACUAAUCAAAUCAUUUCUCUUCUCCAUCCAGGUUUAUUGAUCCUCCAUGUUUAUUCUCUAUUGCUCUAUUAUUAAGAGGAUUAAGGGUAUCUUGGUUGCCUUUCUUUAUAAAGGCUGCUUUAUCUCCCACUCAGGGGCUAAGGUGGCUCGGGUCUAUGUUUGAUGUCGCACAUCACUCGCGCGGUGUCGGCUGGCAAUUUUUUCGUUAUGCGUUGCUUUGAUUUGAUUGGUUUGUUAGGAGUCAUCACCUAAUAAUUUAUUAAAGGCUACUAGGAAACCGAAUGUACUGGUCUUGUCAGAGAUUCGCGAGUAAGGGACUGGUUGUGGUUAGGGAAGGUAUUAGCACCCAUAACGCACCCUACCUGAGGUAAGCUGCUUCGUGGCUUUGACGUGUUAAAGAAGUUUUAAAAUUUUUUUCUUUUCAUCGGGUAUCAGAAAUACAACUUACAUACAAGUUAAUAAUUCUUGACCGUGAUCCAAUCAACAUAUUAAUUUCUUCUUUAAUCUUUGCAAUUUUAUCAUAAAUAAAUAAAUAAAACAUCCAUAAAACAAAUACAAACACACACAUACACAUACACCUUUACUAUAUUUUUUCCUUUUUUUAUUUUCUUUUCUUUUACAUACACACUACAAAUUAUAAAAAAUUCAAAAAAAGCUAGACAAAAAUUAUAUUAAACAACUAAAAAAUUACAAAAACAACCCCUAAAACAUCCUUGAAUUGCUGGGAACGGUGCUGUGAAAACUCAUGGACAGCCGGAACAGUGGCGGCGCGUUGUUCCACGCGCCACCAUCACUAGCGGCGUGUGGGUUCACGCACAGCAGAAAAAAAAAACAGCAGGGGAGAUCUGAAGCGGCUUCCUUGCCAACGAUGACUGCUACCUCUACCUGCAACAAGAAACAUAAAAAAAGGCCAUAAACAGUUGAUUUUAGAUUUGUCUUUCUUUGUUUUUUAGAUCUGCAUUUCUCCCUUCUCCUUGUUCGGAUCUGCUUCACUGCAGGUCAGUUGUUAUGGGUUUCAUCUUCUUCUUCUCUGCUUUGGGUGGCAGAUCGGGCUGCGUUGUAGUGUCUCAGUCACAGUAGAAGGCUGGCCGAGCGUCGUCGCGUGGGGGCUGUCGUUGGAGGGCAGAUCUGCGAACACUGCUAGAGGGAGAAGGUUGGCCACUCCGAGUCUGUGGGUGAUGUUGCUGCUGACGGCGAAGACCGGGUGAGAGUAGAGGUCUGGUGAGGUGAGGGAGCGGCCGGCUAGAGAGGGAAAGAGGAAGCGACCUCGAGAGAGAGAGAGAGAGAUGGCUGUGGGGAAAAUAAGAGAGGGAGCCGAGGUUGGACUUGGGGAACGGCUAAGAUGGAGAUGAGGGGGGAACAGAGUGGCUACUCCAGUUUUAGGAGAGUGGGGUUGAGGGUGGCUUCUGUUUUUUCUCUUUUGCAAAACUGCGGGGAAAGUUGAGAGAGGAGUGUGGUGGCCGGAGAUAGGGCUGCUGUGUUUGGCCAAGGAUGGGAUUAUGGUCGGGUGUGUGGCCGAGAGGUUCUGUGCAAGGUGGAUGAGGUCAAUGGUUGGGUGUCUAUGGGUGAAGGAGAGGGAGGGGGCGCCGUUCCUUGAAAAAGAUGGGUUUAGGGUUAGGGUUUUCUUUUUUUCUAUUUUUUUUAAUGUUUCAAAAUUGCCCCCCUCUUUGUGUGUGUUGAAGACCAGUAUUUAUAGGCAAAAAUAUUGCUAGGUUUCCAAACUUGGUCCCUCAACUUCUUUCUUUUUGUAAAUUUGAUUUUUCUUAAUUUUUUGUAUUUUUUUAAAAACGAGCAAUAUCAACGUCGACUCGAUGAGGAAAAUCAAUGAUUUUAAAAAUAACACGUGAAAAGUUGAACGCGUUCGAAAGACUCUUAAAAAUUUAAAUUCUUUUUUAGACGACGUUGAAAAUACUAAAAUGAUGAAAAUAUAUUAAAAACAUAUUUUUUUGAAUUUUUAUUGUUUUUCUCUAUUUUUGAAUUUUUCUGAAAAUUUAUCAAAACAUGGAUCAAAAAUUAGGUAGCAACAUUUGAUAUCCCUUAAAAAGGGUGGCCUAAGAAUAAGGAGGGCUCAAACUUGAAAUGAAACAGUUAUUCUCAAGCAUGUCUAGCGACUACUAUCAGAUAGAUCAUCAGUUUGGUCAGGAUGGGUCCAUAAUGUUUUGCUCAAAGGCAGAUCUUUUGGGCAUGUCAUGCCUCCUUCAAUGUCUUCUUAGUCAUGGGGGAAGGUUUUAUUCAUCAAAGAUUGGUGUAAAAGGAAGUUUGUCUUCAAUAUUGGUAGUGAAACUACUACCUCUAUAUGGUUAGACUAUUAGUUACCAGAUGGGCAACGGUUAUGUGAUCUAGUGUAUUUUAGGGUGCUCGCUUAUACUGGGUUGUCAUGGAAUGCUAAGGUCUCAUACAUCAUUAAGAGGGAUACUUGGGUUUUUCCAUUGGGUAGUCUGGAGCUCCAGCCUGUAUAGGACUCGAUUACUUUUAACCCAAGAGUGUCUUACCAAAUCAUUAUGUCUGGAACGGUAACUCAUUGGGGGAGGUUCUUUAUUGACUCGGCAUGGGAGGUUCUUAAAGAUUCCAAACCCAUAGACUAUAUACACUAUCUUCUCUGGUUUUCAGGUUUCAACUUGUGACUCUCUUUUAUCAUGUUGUUUACCUUUAUAAGUUGUCUCAAUAUCAUGAAUAGACUACAUGCUUUUUAGAUCAUUCCCUCUUCGACAUGUAUCCUUUGUGGGUUACAGGUUGAAACACAUGAACAUUUAUUUUUUUAGUGUCCUUUCUCUGCUAUAGUUUAGGGUGUUAUCACGAAUAUGACCCUUAUGAGUUGGUCUUCUUUGACAUGACAUAAUUUGCUUUAGUAGGCAUACAAGCACUUGAAGAAAAAAAAAUAAAAAAGGACUUUACACAUUUACUUACUUGGCUAGCCUUUUGUACCUCUAUUUAUUUCAUUUAGUGUGAGAGAAAUAAUCAAGUUUUUCAUAAGAUUUAUUGAUCUCAUCAGGAUGUUUGCAAAGAUAUUUUUUAUUUGGUUCACUCCCGUUUGAUAGAGCUCGAACUAGGUUUUAUAUCCUAGCUACUUUCAGGUCCAUUUGGUGCCUCUAAAAGUUAUGAAAUAUAAUUACUCUUGCUAAUUUUAAGAUUUUAUUUAGCAUAAUUUUAUAUAUAAUCAAUCGAUCAUCUACAAGCAUUUAUACUUCUUGAGAUAUGCUCCUCGUGCUCUAUAUAGUUUCUUCCCUUUAAAACAACUUUUAUCCGAAAAUAAGAAAAGAAUUUUGUUUUGCUAUACAUUGCAAGUUUUAAUGUCUAUUUAAUAUGUAUGCUAUGAUUUUAUUUUGAUCAAGAUGAACUUAAUUAUAUAAAAAUGCAAGCAAUCUAAACUAAAUUAUAGAUCGAAAACAACAGUUAUCCAAUUCAAAAAAACCACUCAAAGAUUUGAGCUGAACCAUUACACUAAUGCAAAAUUAUUCAUCGAAGAAAUUUAGAAGUGCAUUUUCAAGGAAACCAAAAAUAAUGGAUACAUGAACCUUGUUCGGUAUACUUCUAGCUAAAACAGGAUAUCAAUCAUCGAUAACUAUCUUCCUCGAUUGCAUUUUAGCUGUCAUAUGGAGAGGAAAACUUUAUCAUCAUAACUAGUAUUAACAUGAAUUAGAUGACUGUUGAUUUCCUGGGUUGGCACUCAAACUUGCAACGCAUUGUGCAAAUUCUAAAAAAGUGAAUUUACAUAGCCGGAAUAUCUACCAUGUCAUGUGCUUCAGGAGAAUGGCUUCCCAUGGCCUCAACUUAUCAUAUUCCACUUCGAGCAGCUUAGUGAUUUGAAGUUUGAGGAAGCCUGAAAGAACCCCCAGCAUAAAGCAUCUCAUAGACAGGCCUUAUCCUCAUGGUUAGAAAAAUGCUCAAGAUGGAGCCCAAACCGCAGGCACCAGCAGGAGAUGCUUGAACUGGACAGCAAAUUUGGUACCUGCUGCUUUGCUGCCUCGUUAUCAUAUACAUAGCCUGCCAGGAGACCUGAGAAAAGGAACGCACCGAGAGGAUUUCCUAGUGACAUGAAGUUGUAAAAUAAACCAAAAUGCUUCAAGCCGAAAAGCUCAGAGACAGUCGGUAUCAUUAUCGAGAACUGAACUCCAUAGCAGAUCCCAAGUAAUGCUGUUGCGGCGUAAAGGAUACCAUCAAUUGCAGAAGCAAACAACAGGUACGUUAUGAUCAUCAUUACUUGAGUGCACGUCAUCCAUAUUGUCCGAGGGAUUGUUUUUGAUCUGCAAGGAAUAAAUGUCCAACACAUCAAAGUAAUACAACACCACAAAAAUAUUGUAGCCUGUGCAGUCUGUAUUCUUUUGGAACCGACAGUCAGACAAUUACAAUGGACUGAUAACGAAAUUUGAGGAUGUGCCAAAGACAAAAGCUCAUGGAAAUAGACAAGUAACAAUCAUAUGACAUUUUGGCAGAACAUGAGCUAUGCUUCUUAUGCAUAUGUUUUCUCCGUCUACGAGCAUCGAUAUCUGGAGCAUAUAACAGAAGAAAAACCGAUGCAACUUAAUUCUCAGAGGAUGCUCGCACUGUCCAAUAGAUGGAGUGACAGUAUUAUUCCUGGAACUAAGCCCCAUCAUGACACAAUUUGAGAAUGAAAAUCAUCUUGGCAUCCUUUGAUUUGGUUUUUCUGUGUUUUAUAUUUUGUUUAUAAAGUCACUGGCUCUAAGCCAAGACUUGCAUGGUUUAGAUGAUUUGGUUUUUUUAACCUUUUAAAUGUAAAUCAAUUAGGCAUCAAAAUGCAGAAAACUUCAUUGUAAUGAACUUAAUGAUUAGCCAAGAAGGAAAGGGUGUAGUAACCUGACAAAAUGUUCAGACACAAUACCCCCACCAAGACGCCCCACAAAAUUGCAAAAGCUGAAGAGCGACAACAAGAUGGUAGUAUCAUGCACGCCUUGUGCAAUUCCUAUCUGGGCCAGAUUAUUGAGCACCCGUUACCCCAGAUCCAACACCCACAAAGUACACAAAGAAAAGAAGCCAGAAAUCAGCCUUUAUUAGGGCUUCAGUAAAUCUGAAAUCCUCCCCUCUUUUCGGUCUCCUCUUCUUCUUCACAGCCCCUUCACCCUCAGCUAGAAGCAUAGCCACCUCAGAUGCCUCAACAUUUUCCCGAAAACUUCCGAGGGCUGUUGUUGAUGAAGAUGAUUUCAGCAGCGGUUCGGUUUUGUCUGCGUUGUCUUCUUGUAUCACACUGUCUGGAGUCUCAACUGGCUGGUGAUGCAUCUCUGGUUUACUGACUCUCAUGCGGUGAAAUGUCAUUUUUAUGGGUAUUGCAAAUGGAGCCAUGAGAAGGACAACCAUUAUAACAAGAAAGGUAUUAGAUACCGGGGCACUGAAAUGAAAUAUGUGAUUCAAUAUGGUGGUUGUUAGGACAUAUAAGCCGAGUACAAUAAGAGCUCCUUGAGUGAAAAGAAAAUGGGCGUGUUCUGAAGAGUCUUCACCUGAUGCAGGGGUACAAGCUCUUACAAAAUACAUGACUAUGAAACACAGAACAGGAAUUCCAAGUGCAAGAAACAUCAGAAGCUUAGAUGAGGAAUUGCGGAGCAGAGUACUAUAAAUUUCAGUAAAUACUGCAGCACUGAUUCCACCGUAACCUUUAAGAACACCAGCAACAGUGCCUCUACUAAGAGGAAAGUUUCUCAUGUUGGUUACAAGAACAGCUGUGCUCAACCAAGCACUACUAUUGGUGGCAACACAGAGAGCAAGGCAUAGCUGCAAUAUCGUAAAGUGAAAACAAAAAAUGUGACUUUAGUCCUUUUGCUGGAAAAUUUUAGAAUGAGCACAAUGAACAUAUAUGCCACUCAACCAAAUAAAAAUGAUGAAGAUUUUGAGAAAUUAAACAUGCAUUAACAGUAUCUGAGCACAGGACAUUUUCCACAAAUCACAAAGUAAACCACAUGAAGCAGCAACUAUAUCCAAAUUUGCAGAAAAUCUCACUCCUAUGCAUACAACAACGAAAAAACUUGUGAGUUUCUACAGCAAACAGUGAUUCGCCAUCCUCUAACACUGUAGUUUAUCAUAUCUGUCAUGAGCAAUAAUAUGGAAGCUGAUUUUACUAGACANNNNNNNNNNNNNNNNNNNNNNNNNNNNNNNNNNNNNNNNNNNNNNNNNNNNNNNNNNNNNNNNNNNNNNNNNNNNNNNNNNNNNNNNNNNNNNNNNNNNAAAAUACAAACACACACAUUCACAUUUCACUAUUUUGUUUCUUUUCCUUUCUUUUCUUUUUCUUUUCUUUUACAUCCACAACACAAAUACAAAUACAAAUACGAAUACAAAAUCAAAAUCAAAACAAAUAAAUAAAAAUUACAUUAAUUAAUUUAAAAAAUUACACAAUAGUCCCUAAAACUCCAAAAAUUGCAGGGAAGCCCAUCUGAAAAACAGAGGGGCCUGGAGCGGCUUCUUCUCCUCUUCCUUUCCUCACCGACGAUGAAGGUCACCGCCACUUGCAACAAGAGAAAAACUCACAAACAGUAGUUCGUUUUAAUUUUUUUCUUUCUGUUACAGAUCUGCUUCUCUUUGAUCUGCUUCUCUGCAGAUCGGUUCGCCCUUCUUCAGAUCGACUUUGCCCCGGGUCAGCCUCUACUUCGGGCGGCGUUGUUGGGGUUGCUGUUGCUGUCGUCCGUUCGGCGGCUUCGUUGUUAGUGGAGAUGAUGAGAUCGUCGGAGGACAAGCAGGCGACCGGCGAGAGGGGAGAGCUAAGGGGGACGGCGUGUGGCUGAGCUGGGGCCGAUGGUUUUGUUUCUUCGGUUUUGGGCGGGGAAGGGAGAGUCUGUGGGUGGUGGCUUGCUUCUGUGGAGGAGACACCGCUACAAGGCUAGUCGGGUGGAGAUGAAGAGGACAGCGAGGCUGCUGCUGGUGGCUUCGGUUCAGUGGAGGCCGGUCCGGCCGCUGGUCUGUGGGGAGGAGAAAAAUGGGGAAGAGGGCAGGGGCUGCUGUCGGUUAUGGAGAAGGCGAAUUAAGGGAAACGGUGAUGGGCAUGGAGGUCUGGUGGAGAUGGGGUCUUCGGGUGGCUGAGGAAAAGGCUGAGAGGGAGGAUCUGUGGAGGGGGAGUUGAUUCGGGGUUGUUGUGAUGCUGGGUUUCGGCGAGCUGGAGGUGGGGAACGGUUCGGUUUUGGAGGAGAAAGGAGAGGAUUUGUGUGGCUUAGGGUGCAAGCGUUGGAUUUGCUGGUCGAAGAGGAGCCGGCUGAGAAGGUCUGCUGUUGGGUCCGACAGCUGAGGAAGAAGAAAAUGGAAAAUCACCCUCUCUCCUUCGGGUGCAGGGGAGAAGAAGAAAAUCCCAAAGGGGCUGGGGACCGUGGGUCUCUGCCCACUGCUCUCGGGACCCGGCGAAAUGAAAAAUCCCCCCUAUGUUGCAUAGCUGGGGAUGAGAAGAAAUAGGGGUUCUCCUCAUGAGGAGAGCCUCCAUUGUCGGCUGGAAACAAGGAAAACAAGACCUGGGUGGGGGGCUGAGUCCCUGAUUUUCAGCUGAAAGAGGGGUCUUGGGCUAGGGGGAGCGGCUGGUUUCGGGUGAAGAAAAAAAAAUUCUUAGGUUGCCUCUCCCUCCAAUAUUCAAAAUUCUUUAUACAUAGGCAAAAAUACUAUUUCGGCCUCAAAAUUGGUCCCUUAACUUUCUUUUUUUUUUGUAAAUUUUGAUUUUUCUUAUUUUUUUAUAUUUUUUUGAAAACGAGCAAUAUCAACGUCGACUCAAUGAGGAAAAUCAAUGAUUUUUAAAAAUGACGCGUGAAAAGUUGAACGCGUUCAAAAGUCCCUUAAAAAAAAUUUAAAUUCUUUUUUUUUUAGACGACGUUGAAAAUGCUAAAAUGACACGAAUAUAUUAAAAACAUAUUUUUUUGGAUUUUCAUUUUUUUUCUCUAUUUUUGGAAUUUUUUGAAAAUAUAUCAAAAACAUGGGUCAAAAAAUGGGUAACAACACAACCCAUCAGCAUAAAGUGGACGACAAGCUGACAAAUUUAGCUAUGCAGUUAACCUGUAAAAAAGCAAUUGAAAUCCCAGUCGAAAUUUAACAUUACUAAGUACCCAAUAAGCACUCAAAAUCAAAGAAAACAAAAGCCUAAUUAUCUCAAUUUAGAAACAACUAACAUUAAAAAAAAUUACCAAAUUUAUUAACCAGUAAAGGGGUUCGAAGAAUGACCUGGAAGAUAACGAUAACAAGAAGGGCAAUAAGAAUGAAGAAGGCUAUCAGCCAAACAAAAAGAUCUCCCAUGCUCCUCCUUUACCCUCCCUGCUCUAAUGUUUUACUCUCUCUCUUCUCCCUUAAGUACUCUGCUUCGUUAGCUCAAGAAAAAGGUAGAGAUGGGUGCUUAUUAAUCACUCUGGCAUGCACAGGGGCUUUGGUUCUUCUCCUGUCUGAAAUGCCACAAUUCUUGUUCGGUUUUCCUUUGAUUUAUUACAGAGAGAAGUUGUGAAAGUAAAAAAAGCAAUUGCAAAUUGUCGAUGAUGAGAGAGAGUAGAAACGCAUGAAAAGCAAAAGAUAUUUGCUUUUCAUUUUUUACAACUGAACCGUGAUUUUUAAUGGGACCCACAUAGAAAUAAAUUGUGUUUUGAAGGUAACCAAACACAUGUUUUACUGCUUUCCUACAAACCGCAACCGCACCAGCUUAGCCAAACACCCACUAUAUAUUAGAAGUAAUGUUAGUAAGAAAAAAAAUCAUAAUUGAUUGUUAUGCAUUUAAAUAAUAAAUCUCAUUAUAAAAAUAUUGUAUUUUUACUUACAAAAAUAGUCCAUCCAAUAAAUAAAUAAAUAAAAAUGUAAGAAAAUAGUCCAUCCAAUAAAUAAAUAAACAAAACAUGUAACAUGAUGUUGUUACAUGUUUAAAGUGACACUCUCUUUAAAGUUCAAGCAACCACUUGUCUUUGAUCAUUAAAGUGUUACAGCUUUCAGGAACUCAUCAGGAAAAAAAAAAAAAACGAGGACCUCUUUAGUUUUUACAGACUGCUGGUUCCACGAAGGAACGCAUGCAGAAAUCAAAUGGGGUUGACUACAAGAAAUGAAGAGUGACAGAGCCAUUUGCUUCGACUCCAUUGAUAAAAAUUUGUUGCUUUCGAUGGCUUUUCUUCGAUUUGCUUCGACUCCAUUGAUCAAAAUUCGCUGCUUUCGAUGGCUUUAAUUUCUUCUUUUUCUACAGAUUGAUACAUGGAGUGUGCUAAAGCCAUUAAAGGUGGUAACUGGGAUGUUGCAGAUUCACUUUUGGCAGAAAUUCGAUCUCUAGCUCCUAAAGAAGAGAGCAUAUCGACGAGGAUGUUGGUGGAAGAAACCACUGGUGGUGGCUUUGAAACACUCGGAGAGGAUAAAACAUAAGGUUUUAUUACAAAAACAGAAGCUUAACAAAUACAACAAAAGCUUUACAAUACACACCCUCUCUCUCUCUAUAUCUAGUGUUUCUUUCUUCUCUCCACACAUAAUAACCUUAGCUUAGAUGCCUAUUUAUACACAAAUUCAGUCAGCUCAAAAUUCAACGGUCAUGGUGUGAAAGCGGUUGGCGGUCGAUGGUGUGAAUGCGGUUAGGCGGUGGCAGCUGGGGGCUGGGGGCUGGGGGCUGGCGGCUGGUCGGUGACAGCUGGGGGCCGGUGAGGCGGUGGUUGCCUUCCUUGACCUUCUGGAUAUUCUGGAUAUUGAGUUUAAACAAAUCUCCCCCUUAAACUCAAUUGAGGGAUGUCAUGCCAAACAUGAAUACUUCUCCCUUCAACGCCUUCUCUCUACUUGUAGCCUUUAUCCACUAAUUUGGCUUUCGUCUUGUAGACCCAUUUGACACCUAUUGCUUUCUUCUUUUCUGGUGGAUAAGUCAGCUUUCAGGUAUCUUUCUUCUCAAUGGCAUGUAUUUCUUCAUCCAUUGCUUUAAUCCAUUUCACUUCUGUGACAGCUUCAUUGAAACUUAAUGGGUCACUAUCUGCAUGGAGACAAAAUAGAGUUGUAUCUUCCAUGACUUGAGUAGCAUCGUACAACUCUUCAAGAUUCCCCAUCCUUCUUGGUCCUUCUGAUGAGGAUGAUGAUGAUGGUGUUGAUGAUGAUGAUCCUGGUGUGUUCCUCCUGUUGAAUACAGGGAAUCUGUGUACCGGACUUUGUGGUUCAGCUGCUGGUAUAACACCGGACUUUGUGGUUCAGCUGCUGGCACAAUCGGUUCUUCGUACAAUUGUUCUUCUGCAAGUACUGUUGGUACUUCUUCACCUUCAAGGAUCAAAUCAGUUGAUCCAUUUGACUGCUUCUUGAUCACCAUUCCAUCCCAAGAUUUAUCUUCUUCAAAGAUAACAUCUCUACUCGUAAUCACCUUCUUCGUGAUGGGAUUAUACAGCCUGUAUCCCAUCCUUCUUUCACCAUAUCCGACAAAGAUGCAUUUCUCGCUCUUAUCAUCGAGCUUUCUCCUUCUUGCAUCUGGGAUCUUUGCAUAUGCCACACAACCAAAGACUCGUAGAUGAGUAACACUUGGUUUGUGACCACUCCAUGCUUCUUCUGGAGGACUCCUUGCAAACUUCUGGUUGGGCAGCGAUUCAGUAUACACUGCACAUGAUACAGCUUCAGCCCAGUAUUGCUUGGGCAACUUCUUUGCUUUGAGCACUUCUGCCAUGUCAAGAAUCGUGCGAUUCUUCCUUUCUGCUACACCAUUCAGCUGUGGUGUAUAAGCUGGCGCGUUGUCUGAUGUCUGAUGCCUUGUUGUGUACAAAGGCUUCAAAGUCAUUUGCUGUAUAUUCUCCACCUUGAUCAGAUCUUACGGUUCUGAUCGUGUAACCAGUUUGCUUCUCCACAAUUGCUUUAAAAUCUUUAAAACAAUUGAAUACUUCUGACUUCCUCUUCAGAAAGUAUAUCCACGUCUUUCUACUAAAAUCAGUAAAAGUGAGGAAGUACCUAUUUUGUCCAGUCGACAUAGGCGUAAUUGGGCCACACACAUCUGUGUGUACUAACUCCAGUGGCCUCUUUGCUCUCCAGUUGACUUCUUUGGCAAAACUGGAUCUGUGAUGUUUGCAAACCUUUGACCAUCUUCUUGCUUGCUAGCAUCUUCAACUCGUGAAAUUCAGAUGUCCAAGCCUCAGGUGCCAAAGCCAUUCUUCACUGUUGGUGAUGGCGCUCAAACACCUUGUUGCAUCAUACUGGAUGUUCAAAGGAAACAUCCUAUUCUUGGACAUUUUCACAUAGGCAAUUAGUCUCCCAUUGUUGUCUCUAAUUGUCAGAUGACAAUUCUUCAAGUAAAGAGUAUAGCCUCUCUCUAUAAGUUGACCUAUGCUGAUCAAGUUCUGCUUUAUGGCUGGGACAUAAUAAACAUCAGCGAUGUGGCUGUUAUCGCCAUUCUUCAACUUGAUUGGGAUGUUGCCUUUACCUUUGAAUGGAACCUUUGAGGUAUCUCCAAAAGUAACUAGACCUUGUUUGGUCUCAUCUAGAUCACCAAAUAACUCUCGGUGGCCGCACAUGUGAUUGCUGGCUCCAGAAUCUAGAUACCAUACAUUCUUUUGUUUCUCACCAUGUCCUUGUUAGACAAAUAAUGCAGCUACUCCUCUGUCAUCAUUCUCUGCAUAGUUGGCUUGCUCACGUAUCUCUAACGGAGCUUUCCUUCGGCAUUCAGUGCUAUAGUGCCCAAAUUGAUUGCAACUAUAACAUUUCAUAUUUCUCUUGUCACGGUUAUUGUAACCGCCUCCUCUUUCUCUAGGAGUGAAUGCUUGUUGUCCUCGACCUCCUCUGGUGGUGUUUCUACCACCUAUUCCUCUGAAGCUUGUAUUCCAAGAUCCUCUUCCUUGGAAUCUUUGAAAUCCUCCUCUGGAUUGUUGACUUCUUUCUUGAGUGGGAUAUCGACUUGUUGAAGUCUCCCCUUGCUCAUAUCUGUUCUUGAGAGACAACUUUGUUUGUAAGGCAUGUUCGAUGGCCUUAUCUCCAUUUCGCUUUACAAUUUUCUGCUCAUGGGCUUGCAAAGAACUCAUAAGUUCAUCCACUGUCAACUUGUCCACAUCUUUGGACUCUUCAAUUGCGACAACAACAAAAUCAAAUUUUAGAUCUAGGGAUCUCAAAAUUUUCUCAGUAAUUCGAGUGUCGCACGUGUGCGGCGGCGCGGCGAUCGUCCACCCCAACCCUUCAUGAGGGUGUAGUAUGUGUCUAUCUGGCAUGGAAAAUAUGGUGAGACAAGGAGUUCUUUGUCUCUAAAAAAAUGGAUCGGGAGUCGCCACCUAGUAUUCUGGUUACUAGGAACCCUUACUGGUCUUGAGAGAUCAGGUACGGAGACUGGUUGCGUAAAGGGAAGGUGUUAGCACCCCAACUACGCCCUACCUAAGGUAGGCUGCAUUGUUUUGUCUAAUAAAACCUAAGUCAUGUUAUGGUUUCCUAUUGUCCAAAAUAUGCAUUACAUGUAAUGUCAUACCCCGGGUUCUAUUGUCCAAACAAAAAAAAAAGAAUUAAAUAUCCGGAAUACGCAUUACGUGUAAUAUCAUACCCCAGGUUUUAUUGUCCAAAAAUAAAAAUUAAAUAUCCGGAAUAUGCAUUACGUGUAAUGUCAUACCCCAGGUUUUAUUGUCCAAAAAAUAAAAUUUUUGUUGUUUUUGAAAUAUUGGCCAAUAUUCUCUUGACUUUAAUAAACUGGUUAUUAAAGCCAAAAUGCAUGCUAAAACAUUUUUUUUUUUUUUGUGUAUUAAAAAUACAAUAUAAAUUUUUAGCUUUGAGACACUUGGCCGUAUGCACAAAAACAUUUUUUUCUUUUUUUUUUUUUUUUUUUUGUAUCUUGUGGAAAAAAUUUUUUUGACGAAAACCGGGAAUUUAAAAAUCAGAUUUUUUGUAUUUUUAACAACAUAAAAAACAUAUCACCCAAUAUUAAUCAAAAUGACAUAAAAAUUACGCGGAAAAAUUAUAAAUGAAACAAAUAUUUUUUGAUUUUUUUUUUUUGAAUGGGCGGGUGAACAGUACCGUAUGAACAGUACCACGGAACGAAAACGGGGUAUUUUAAUACCGGAUUUAUAUUUUUUCCCAACAAAAAAAAAAUGUUGCUUGAUAUUAAUCAAAAAUCCACGGGAAACUUGUAAAAUUACAAAAAAAACAAAAAUAAAACCAAUUUAAUUAACAAAAAUAAAUAAAUAAAAACUGGGCCGGAUCUAGCCCAUCCAUCCUGGGAUGGGCCUGACCCGGCCCAUAUACUGUGGGCUGGACUCAGCCCAGCCGCGUGGGCUGGGCUGAUGUUCCAGCCCACCAACCAAAAGGCUGGUUACUGUGUUAGCCACACAGUAACCAGCAAAUAAUAAGGUAGUUACUGUGCCCAGCACAGUAACUACCGAAUUAUUUUCAUUCUUUGCUGCAGAACGUGAUUCACGUUCUGCAUGCAAAGAAUGAAAACAAACCACUGAAUGUAUAAACGAAAGGCAACAGGGGGAAGACGAGUACCUGGAACGGUGGCGACGCUGGCGGCAGUGGAGGCGGCAGCGGCGGUGUAGUCGGCGGCUGUCCUCUUUCUUUCUCUCCUCUGUUUCUGUUCAUCGUCACCUUGGGUCAGUUUUUUUUCGUUGUUCCCUCUCUCUGUUCUGCUACUCUUCUUCCUCUGUCUUCUUCUUCAGUUUCAUUCAUCUCUUCUACAAGCCCUCUCUCACGUUGUUCUCAGCUUUCUUCUCCCUUUCGGUCCCUCUCCAAAAGCUUGGUUCUCUCUCUCUCCCUCACGGUUUUCUUUCAAUAAUCUGUCAGCUCUCCCCUCUGUUUUUCUCUUCUUUUUUUCUUUUUUUUUCCCUGCUGUUCUUCCUCCAUUUAUAGCCCGUGAGCAUGUGUUUUUUUCUUCUCAUCAUGGGGUCAUACGGCGGCUGGUCGGGCGUGGCUGUCCAGGCGUGCCUCCCUCAGUUUCGGCGGUGCGGUAGGUGGUCGGCCAAUCGGUGGGCUGGAGGGACCAACGCCAUAAAAUAUACAUUCUUUUUUUUUCCUUCUUUACUGCUGUAUGUUAGGCGGGGAAGAAAGGGGAACAGUGCCGUUCAAAACGGCGCCGUUUAGCCCUUUUCUGUUUUUUUUUUUUUUUUUUAAAGUAUGAAACGGCGUCGUUUUGGAUAAAACGCGCCGUUUCAUUUAAAAAUGGCGCCAGAACGCGCUAAAUUCCAAAUCAGCCCUCAAUCAUCUUUUUCUUUUCAAUUGCGUCCCUACCAAUUUCGGUCCCUGACCCCAUAGUUGGCUGCGUUUUUCACUUUGGUCCUUGGCCUCUGAUUUAUGCAAUUUAACCCUUAAUUGAUCAAUAAACUUCUAAUUUCUUCAAUUAGGCCCCUGAAUCAAUUCAAUACAGCUCCCUCUAUAUUCGCGCCUUUUCCAAAUUGGUCCCUGCUUUCGGAUUUUCGCAAUUAAACCCCUAAUUGGCCAUUAAACUUCAAAAUUCAUGCAAUUAAGCCCCUGAUUUGGCCUAAUAAAUUCCUAAAAAAUAUAUUUUGGCCCCAGAACUUAAAUUUCUUCUAAUUAAAGCCCAAAUUGAUUUCAAAAUCAAUUUUUCUCGCAAUCAAAACCCCUAAAAAUCCCAUUAAAAAUCCAAUCAUGUCCAUAAACCUCCAAAUUUAGGCUUUUUCCUCAAAAAUUUAAAUUUUCCUUCUAAAUAGGGCUCUCAUCCUUCAAGAAUAAACUGCCAAAAAUCCAAUCUUUGUAUUUUUAACCUCCUGGACCAAUUUUCUGACCAUUUUCUGAGCGCUUCCCCCCUUGUUAUUUUUCUAACCUCCUUUGGCUAUUUAUUUUUUAUUUUUUUUUUAUUAUUAUUAUUUUUUUUUUGCGGGGACCCAAAAAUGGGUUACAACAUCGAGAAUCUAUGAUGGCUUCUCCAUUUCUCCUUAUCUGAUUGACUAUCACCAUAAUCCUUGUGUGAUAAUCAGAAAUAGAUUCUGAGGACUUCAUUUGCAAUAAUUCAAAUUCUCCUCGUAAAGAUUGAAGAAGAAUCUUCUUGAUUCUAUCAGCACCUUUGUAUUUUUAUUGGAGAGCCUCUCAUUUAUCUUUUGAUGUUUCAGCGGAAGCUAUGAUUUCGAACGUAUCUUCAUCAAGACCUUGGUAGAUGAUGGUCUUUGCUUUGUUGUCCUUCUUUCUGUUGACUUUCAGGGCUUGCUUUUGUGCCUCUUGUAAAGCAUCUUCUGCUUCUUUGGACUCUGGUUCAUCAUAAUCAUGUUGUACAAUAUCCAAACACUCUUGUGAACCAAGGAAUGCCUUCUAUAUGAUGCACCAACUAUCAUAGUUGUCUUUGGUCAGCUUCGGGAUGAGUGUUUGUGUACUUUCUGUAGUCAUUUUGCUCUUUUAAUGCCUAUAUCGACUUCUAGGAGCCGAAUUUGACUAAACGGACACUGUAGAUCGAUCCGGAAUGGUCCAAAUAGUAAGGAACCGGUCUUACUUUGCAAAAAUCAGGUCAGAAUAUGGGUGAACCAGUCAAAACACCGAUUCUGUACGGGGGGCGGUUCGCUGGGUUGAACCGGGAAUAUUCUGUGGAAUAUUCUGUCGGCACCGGGAAUAUUUUGUCGACGCGCUGACGGCUGGGAAAACAGCACACGUACGGAGAGGCUUGGCGGCUCGGCUCAACUCGUACGGAGCGGCUUGGACGCUCGGCUGGACGACUCGGCUCGGCGCGGCUGGAUGGAGGCUCGGCUAACGGCUCGGCUUAGGAGGCUUAACGGCUGGAAUAUGGCGCGCGUGGACGUCACUCGUCGUCUUCCUCUGGUGCGCGUGGGCGACAGUCACCGGAUCUUCAGGCGGCGCGUGUGGCUCACCACGGGCUCCGAUCAGGCUAUUCUUUGCACCAGUGUGUUGAUCUUGAUGAGCUCUACACUGUGGAAUGAUCAAAACUUGUUUUUGACAGCUUUGAAAAUUUGGAUAUACCCCAAAAACACUCUUGUUUUCUGACGAACGAGGCUCUUAUACCAAUUGUUGGUGGGAGAAACCACUGGUGGUGGCUUUGAAACACUUAGAGGGGAUAAAACACGAAGUUUUAUUACAAAAAACAGAAGCUUAACAAUAACAAUAAAGGUUUACAAUAAACGCCCUCUCUCUAUAUAUAUAUAUCUAGUGUUUUUCUCUUCUCUCCACACUUAUAAUAACCUUAGCUUAGAUGCCUAUUUAUACACAAAUUCAGUCGGCUCAAAAUUCAACCGUCAUGGUGUGAAAGCGGUUGGUGGUCGAUGGUGUGAAUGCGGCUAGGCGGUGGCAGCUGGUGGCUGGCGGCUGGUCGGUGACAGCUGGUGGCCGGUGAGGCGGUGGUUGCCUUCCUUGACCUUCUGGAUAUUCUGGAUAUUGAGUUUAAUAUUCAACAGAGGAAAGUUGUCAAUUAAUAUUGUGCUGAGGCUCUUGCCCGGCGUGCGUGUCUGUACAUGGAGUUCGUCCUCCAUGGAUCCUUUACCCUUGCUACCUCCAUGCGAUCCAUCCGAUUACAUAUAUUAUCCUUUCGACCGGUUUGCUAAAAUCACUAGAUAUUUCGUUGUUGAUGCCUUGAGUUCGGGAAAUAAAGGACUCCACAUUAUUGACUUCUCCUCCAUCAUGUUUGAUCCUGGGCGGUGGAUUUAUUAAUUAAUUGAAGAGCUCGAAGGCCAAUAUGCAUGGUGGCCUGCAAUCACUCAUAAUCAAAUAAAGGUUUUUAUCCCAUUAGUAUUAGCUCAAACAUGUAAUUAACAUAUACACAAGUGAUCCUUGCAUUUUUAACCUUUAAAAGUGGAUGAAAUCUGGAGAGAAAAAAGAACCAUGCCUCUCUUCUCCAUAGAUAUGAGGGUAACGUGGGAGGGUCAUGGUGGAAGAAGAGGUCUGCCUGGUUGCUUCUAUAUGUCGUAACCCUAAAAAUAGUAUUAGAUUCAUUUGGUUAAAUUCUUGUUCACAUGUGAUAUUGUUCACGUAUACAGUAUUGUUCACAUAUAUGGAAAGUCAAUAGAUAUGGUCUAGGAAGUUAUAUCUAAGACUAUUAAAUUUUAAACGGGUCCAUUGUGACCUCUCCAUUCUUUUUAUGGAAACUUACUUAGUGAAAGUAGUGUUCACAAUACUAUUUUAAUAUACGUUAUAGUUUUUAAGUGAAAUAGUGAUAGUUGAACAAAUUAUAGUGAGUAAAAUGACAACAAAAUAUGAGAUUAAGAGUUUUAAUAGGAGCAAUGUCUCACAAUGACAGAUAAGAAUGAAGGCAAUUUUAAGGGGGAAAAAUUGCUUGACAACAAUUGGAGAAAGGCCCAAAGAGAUCAUUGAUAAUGCUGAGUGGAUUGAAAUGGAUAUCAAUGUUAUUACUAAUAUGCAUUUAGCAUUAGCCAAUAAUGUAUUAUCAAGUCCGGUGAAGAAGAAAACAACAAAAAAAAAAUUAGAUACUCUAAUAAAGUUAUAUGAGUCUAAGUCUCUAUACAAAAUGAUUUUAUUAAAAAUAAGACUUUAUACCCUUCAAAGGAAAGAAAUCACAUUGGUGAUUAACCACAUCAAUACAAUAAGAACUUAAUUUUCUUAACUCACUAUGUUGGGUCAACAAAUAAUGAAAAAUAAACAUCAAAAACUUCUACUUCAAAAUCUUUUUAAUUUGCAUGAUCAACUCAUUAUCAAUUUGUGUGAUGAAUAAAUACAGUCUAAGAAGCUUUGUCUAAAGAGAUUGAGCUUUAAAUGAGACUAUUUAUAUCCCCUCCAAUCUUUCAUUGAAACUUACUUAGUGGAAGUAUUGUUCACGCGAUAUUAUUUUUGUAUACAAUACAAUUCGUAAGUACAAAAAUGAUAGUUGAACAAAUUACAGUGAACAAAAUAAAAGCAAAAUAUAAAUUGAGAUGUUCAGUUAGAGCAAUUUCUCACUAUAAAAGAUGAGUGAAGGAAAAUUUAAGAAAAGAUAAUUGUUUGGUAGCAAUUAAAGAUAAAGCCAUGGAGAUCACUGAUAUUGCCAAGUAGAUCAAAGUUGAUAGCAAUGUUAUUGCUGAUACACAUUUAGCAUUAGCCAAUGAAGUAUUAUCAAAUGUAUAAGAGAAGAAAACUACAAAAGAGAUAUGUGAGACUCUGAUAAAGUUAUAUGAAUCCAAGUGUUUACAUAAUAAGAUUUUCUUAAAAAUGAGACUUUAUACCCUUUAAAUGAUAGAAAUCAUGUCGAUGACCAGCCACAUCAACAUAUAAGAACAUGCAGAGCUUCUACUUCAAAGUCCUUUUGAUUCGUAUGAUUAAUUCAUUAUCAACUUGACCAAUAACAUCUCAUGACUAUCUAGUCUUUGAUGAUGUUGCAAUUAUCUUUGAAGUAAAAAAUAGGUGUAAGAACAAAUGAGAUAGAAUUAAUACUUCAAAAAAAAUAAAGGCAUUAUUGAUGUCAAAAGAAAGAUCAAUGAAGUGUGGCUCCAAUAGGAGUCAAAGACAAGGAAAUUCCAAACCAAGAAGUAAGAAUACCAUGAAAUGCUACAACCAUGGCAAAAAAUGCACUUUUGGUAUGUAAAAUGUAUAAAGAAUACCCUGGAUUCAUCAAAACCUUAUGGAUGUGUUGCAAACACUUUGAAUGAUGAGGAAAUUUUAUAUAGCAAAGCAGUAAUAAUCUCUAUAAACAAAAAUAAGUUUACAGAGAUUUGCUUAAUGGAUUUGAGAGCAAGCAUAGGCUAGAAAUACUCAAGCUUGCAAGAAAGGAUGUUGGGGGGGAGGUCCACAUGGCCUCUCUAAGUUCAUUAUGGCAAUCAACAAGACCAAGAAGAGCAUCCAGAAGUGUAUCAAUAAGUUGGUUUUUCAUCGGGAUUGUGCAGCAUUUAAGGCUGAACUAGAGCCAGAGCUAGCUAGAUAUCAAGGACAGUGGAGAAGAGGAGCAUUGACAAGGAAGUACAGGAGUGAGAAGGAGUUGAUCAAAGUAGAGCAGCCUCAAAUACUCAAGAUCAGGAGACAAGCAAAAUCUGGUCCUUUGGAUACUAGGAUGCAAGAGAAUUUGAUGCAUGCCAGUAGAUGCUUGAAGCUGUCUGGUCCUCUGGAUGGGAAAGUGCAGGAGAGAUUGGUGUUUGCUUACAGGAGCCCAAAAUUAUAUGGGACUCCAGAUGGAAGGGUGCCACAAAGUUUGAUGAUGACUAAUAGGAGCCCGCAAGUACAUGGAUAUGAUUAAGGUUUCCAAUUUCCGGAGGAAUCUCACCUGUCAAAUUGUUGCAAGAGAGAUCCAUUCCAGACAUGAUGGGCCAAAUGCUUAUCGGGUAAGAAUAGGAUACACUCUUUGUUGUAAUCUCUAAAGGCUCUCGAAUCAAAUACCUAUCAGGAUAUAUUCUAAGAUAGCUGUACCAAAUACUGCUUCUAAAUCUUAGACAAGGGAGGAUAUGACCAGAAAACUUAUUAUGAGAAAGAUCAAUGAAACUCAAUUUGUCCAACUGGCACAACUGGAUGGGUAUUCUGCCUUCAAGGUUAUUAUAACCCAAGAGAAGAAAGCUCAUGUGGGAAAACUCACCAAUCCAUUCCGAAAUGUUGCCAGUCAAUUGAUUAUGGCUAAGAUCCAAUGUAAUUAGCUCGAAGGAGUUAUGAAAUGCAUCCUCCAAAGACCCCUGUAAUUUAUUUUGUGACAAAUAAACAUGAACUAGUGGCAAAGAGCUAAAACAAAAUGGCAGCUUUCCAGAGAUGUUGUUUUCUGAGAGAUCCAAAACUUGAAGAGAAGACAUAUUGCCAAACGAAGAGGGAAUGCUACCGUUGAAGUGGUUUUUAGACAUGGAUAAAAAUGUCAAACUUGGGAAAUAUGCUCCAAUUUCUGUUGGGAUGUAGCUGUCCAAGUGAUUGUCAGAAAUAUCUAAUUGUGACAAACUCACAUGGGGAUGAAUUGGCAACUGGAAAGGUCCUGAAAGAGAAUUGUUGACCAGGAAAAGUUCAUGUAGGUUUGUGUUGUUCUCUAGCAACCAAUUUGGAACCCCUCCCCUCAUUUUCAUGUUAGAAAAAUAAAUUUCCUGCAAGUUGUGUUGAUAGAAGAGGAAUUUGGGAAAGGGCAAUGCUCCAGUACCAUAUGCUUGACCAGAUAAAUGAAGUCUCUCUAGUUGGAACUUUGGGAUCAAAUUGUGCUCCUUUAGCUCUGCACAGAUUUCAUUAUUAUAACCAAAGAAGAAUUUGAGUUCCGAAUGGUUGAAAAAUGACCUCAAUGAGAUGGGGAUUUGAAAGCGAUUGUCCGAAAGUCUUAAUUCUCGGAUGGAUGUCAGAGUUGUAAGAGGAGACGAGGAAAUAUCACCCACAAAGUAAUUGGAAGAGAGAUCUAUUUGUUUCAGGGAUGUCAAAUUUGCCAAACAAUUAGGCAAGACACCGCUGAGAUUAUUAUUGCUGAUAUCAAGACUUUGAAGAUACUUCAACUCGCAUAGACCUGAGAAUUAUCAAUUUACAAAAUAUUUAACAUGAGAAAAAGAGAGAGAGAGAGAUCAGAAAGGACCAUCAGACUUACCCUCGGCUAUAGGUAUGUUGCCACUGAGUCUACAACCAUUCAACUUUAAACUCUUCAGAGUGGUAAUCCUUCCUAUUGUUUGCAGAAAGCUAUUAUCAAGAGUAGAGGAACUCAAAUCCAACUUUUGCAAAUUCUUGAGAGAAGGCAAGGCUACGAUAAAACAAACCGACAAGAAGUGAUUAGUAUAUUUUGAAGAGGAUAAAGUAAGGGAUACCAAUUAGGAGAAGCUCAAGUCUCUAUAGCCAAAUUAGACAUCAGUACAUAUUGCAACUCACCUUGAGCUAAUAUUGUUCCUUCGAAAUUAUUGUUCCCCAGAUCAAGUGUCUUGAGGUUUGGGAGUUUUGCCAAUGAUUGCAGUAAUGGAAGUGAAAUUCUUCUACCAUUUGCGGUGAUAUUAAGUAAACAAACUCUGCUUAGAUUUCCGAAACCUCUAAUACCUGCAAGAGAACAAGUUUCAAACCUUACGAGCAAAUCAAAAUCGUCCUUACUGCAUGGAAUCUUGGGUAAAAAGUUAGGUAGAUCGAUCGAUCCGUGAAGCCACCAUCGUUCAUGUGGAAUAUUUAAGUAAUACCUUCUGAGAACACAAACUCGUCAAUCUCAUUUCCGCUGAGAUACAGCUUCCUCAAGUUGCUCAAAGCUUCCAAUUCUAGGUUGCAGGAAAAUAGAACUGAUUAGGUCACAGCAAAGCCUUGGAACUCAUUUUUUGAAAUGGAAUAACGUGUGAGCAAUAAUUGGUUUAUAAACCUUUCAUGUUGAAUGUUCCUUUCAGAUGGUUCUUUGCCAGAUCGAGAUUCUUGAGAGAUGAAAGACCCUUGAAGGAUGAUAAGAUACUGUUAUCAAAGCGAUUACCUCCCAAAUCAAGAUACUCCAAAUUGCUCAGUUUCAGCACUUCAUCCUCACCACCUGUAAGAAAUAAUUGUACAAGGUUUGAUGUAAAAAUAGCGAAACAGUGAAAAGAUAAUGCAUAACUCAAAAAUCUUUCAUACCAUGAAGGGAUUUAAACCCUUCAAUGUGAUUGCUCUCAAUACGCAGAUUCCUUAAGUUUGUCAGAUUAUUCAAUCCUGGCAAUACGUAGAACAUAAAUUAAUGCUAUAUAUAAUUGCUUUGGAAUCAUGAUUGUGUUUGAGACAAUUAGUUUAAAAACUGAGAUGAGAAGAGCCAGGCUCACCUUCCACGCUAAUUGUUCCUUCGAUUUCAUUAUCGUGUAGAGAUAAAUAUUUCAAAGAUGAAAGACCACCUAAGGAUGAAAAGAUGCUGCUGUUGAAUUUGUUUUGCCCUAACUGGAGUAUCUCCAAAUUUCGACAACUCGAUGUGUGCUGGAGUUGCAGUGGACUUGUUUCCAUUCGCAGCAGUUAGCAAUAGCAUCUCUUUCCCAGGAGAGCAGGAAUCCGCCAUUUGGGUAACUAAAGGCAUCUUUGAUUUGCAAGAGAGCAAGUCUUUCUUCCUCCAAGCAACCAUGGCACCGCCACCCUUGUAUUAAAACCACCAAAUUUAUAAUCAUUAUCACUGCUAAACACAGCCUGUUCAACUCCAUUUGAAGAACUUUGCUAUUAGUAAAUUCUCAGAAAAAAAAUACAAAAUACACCUCUGUCGCCAUAGAAAGUAACUGUCAGAGGUUCUCUUAUAGGAUAGGAUAGCGCAAAGCUUACGUUUUUACAAGACCACGGUGUAGAGAAAUUAACGAGAAUCACUCCGCGUAAUGUUCAACAGAUUUUCUUUUUAUUGUUUAUUUUUUAUUUUUACUUUCAAGUACGUAUGCAUAAGAUCUACUUUGUUUGACUUCUCAUUUAUUGGUUUCAGACUUGGCAUGCGUUUUCUUUAAGAAAAAGAGGAAAAAUUAGAUAUAUGCCACUAUUAACAGCUUUCUUUUCUUUUGUCUUAGCAGGUGCGAGCCAUCAUCAGGUCAAGCGAUGAAUGAAUACAGCAACCUUCUUCUUUGUCAUAGCGUGUAAUUUUCCACAUCCACUAACAAGACUGACAGCCACUGCCUUAUUCUCGGCCGUAGGGAACACGUCGCGCGCGGUGACCAGUUCUUCUGUUUCUUGUAAAAAGUAAGAGUAAAAUGCAAGAUUUUUCGUGUUCUUCAGCAGUCCCCAGAUCUUGGGGUCAGGGUUUCAUUAAUCCACCUGUGGGUUCUAUUAUUAUAGCUUGUUGGCAAAUUGGUUUCUCUGUUUUUUUUUUCCUUUGACAAUUGGGUUGGGCCGAGACAUGCAAUGUCUUCUCUUUUUUUCCCUUCGGAAGUUCGGGCUGGGCGGAGACAUGCAAUGUCUGUUUCUUUUACUUUGGAUACUUGGGCUGGGCCAUCUCAAAUCAUUUGGAAGCCCAUGAAUAUCAUCUUAACUCUCCAUAUUUUCGACCGCAUUUGCAAGUCUUUUCAUCUCUUUCUAUGGCCUCAUAAAAGUUCAUGAUACAUAACCUGCUAAUUUCAAAUCCCAGAUCUGUAAGGCUCUGUUUGUUUGUAAAAAAAUAAUUUUUUUAAAAAAAUAAUUUUUUUAAAAAAGUAAAUUUUAAGAAAAUAAAGUAUUUUCUGAUGUUCGGUAAUGUAAUGAAAAUAAGUUGGAAAACACUUUUCCAGUAUUUGGUUAUGUUAUGGAAAAUGAGCUGGAAAAUAAUUUAUUACUGUUUUAUUUUUCUCAAGUUUAUUAAAAUAAUGAGGAACAAAUCUUACAAAUUAAAAGGUUGAAUGAGAAUGAAAUUAAAAAAAAAAAAUUUAUAAAUUAGCUCAAAUAAAUUAAUAAUAAUCAAAAUAAUAGAGAUCAAAUCUUAAAAAAAAAAUGAAAGAUGAAGAAAUUAAAAUAACAAUAAUUAACAUUUCAUAAAUUAUGUCAAAUAAAAUAAGUAACAAUCAAAAGAAUAAAGAUCAAAUUUGAUAUAAUAAGCAAAUAAUAUGACAUUUCUAAAUUUUUUACAACUUUCAGAAAGUGUUUUCCGUCCAAAUUUUCCAGAAAAACACUUUCUUGUAAACCAAGCCAAAUUUUCCUUUGACUGGAAAGUGUUUUUCAUUGACUAACUUUUCUAAUGACAAACAAACACAAGAAAGUUUGGAAAGUAAUUUCUCGAAAAUCACUUUUCAGGAAACAAACAUGGCCUAAGUUUCAGUGUAUUAUUAUCUCAGUAGUUGUUUUUUACUUGAAAAUAUAUUAAAAUAAUAUUUUGUAUUGUUUUAAAAUUUAUUUUUAAUAUUAAUACGCUUUAAAAUUACAAAAAAAAACUUGAAACUAAUAUAUAUAUAUAUAUAUAUAUAUAUAUAUUAUUUUAAAAAUAUUUUUAAAAUACAAAAACAAAUAUAUUUUUAAAAUUUUAUUAUGAACAGGUUCAAGUUUGACUAAACUAAUGUUUCGUACCGUCCAAUAACAAAUCUAACACUAAUAUAAUGGGACUGUAUGACUAGUAAUGGAAUUAAUCUGCAAAGCAUAAAUGAAAAGAAAUUAUUCGUUUUGUUGAACGUUAAAGCAGAGCUUCGUUGCAAGGACAAAGUUGCAGUCUUGUUAAAUUGAAAAAAAAUUAUUGCUUUUUUAUUAUUUGAUAAGUUAAUGUUAAAAAUUGUAAAUAAUAUUUGAUAAGUUGCAGUCUUCGCUGCAAGGAUUCCACUCGUAGCUAGACUCUUUGAAUUUUCUACUACCAUUAACAAGACUGACACUGAUGUCACUGUUUUUGCCGUAGGGAAGGCAUUGCAUGCGAUGACCAUUUCAUUUGUCUAUGUCGCUAUUAUUGUAGAAAACAAAAAAAGUAUUUCAGAAUCCUUUUUAUUUAAAAUCCUUCCAACCUCAUACCAGCCUAGUCCCAAGUUACGGAGGAAACGCUAACAGCCUAGCACUUUCCACGAAGAAUAUGAAUUUGGAAAACAAGCCGAAAGAGAGGACUUUGACUAACAGCCUCGCACUUUCCACGAAAAAUAUGAAUUUGGAAAGUAAGCCGAAAGAGAGGACUUUGUCUAACAGCUAGCACUUUCCACGAAAAAUAUGAAUUUGGAAAGUAAGCCGAAAGAGAGGACUUUGUCUGGCUCAACAUCAUAUUAUUUUAAUACCUAUUUCUGACUGAACUUUUAUAUAUAUAUAUAUAUAAUUAAAGAAACGAUUAGUGAAACCUAAAUGAUUAGACAGUCUUUUUUUUUUUUUAAAUGAAACUAUAUUAUUUUAAUUUUUUUAAAAGAAAUAUUUUGAAUGUCAUAAAUAAAAACAUUAAGAACCCUAUAGAAGAUUUGUAGAACGAACUUUGAAAGAUAUAUUAAAAAAAAAAAGUGAAAAACCAUUUUGUAAAACCUAUGACCAAGCCAAUGAAAUAAGUGGCAAGAUGCUGGUUUUUCAAAAAUUUCAUUAGUUUCAAUUUUUUAUUCGAUUGUUUUGGAAUAUUUUCAACAUUCUUCUUGUAAAAAUCUUCACUGCAACUUUUGGUCCACAAAGGGAUCGUUUGGUAGUGCGUUUCAACCUGCUUUUCGCUAAAUUUUGAUUAUUUUUUUUUUUUGCUAAAAUUGAGUUCGGUUUGUACUUUUUGGAUCGUUUUGAUCAUAGUUUUAAAACUCGGACCGGCCCGGCGGGUUGACCCGGGACCCGGCCGACCCGGGCAUGGGACCGGUCCGGGCGAAGGCCAAAACCCGCUUGGGAAUUGGCCCGGCCAGACCCGGUCGACUCGGGACCCGGUUGACCCGGCAAGACCCGGCCACAAACCCAUUGACUUUUUGUUUUUUUUUGCUAAAACGACGUCGUUUUGAUUUUUUAAAAAUAAAUUUUGACCCGGUCGAGACCCAGUGACCCGAUCAAAACCCGGAACUCGGGGCUUGGACCGGGCCGGGUCUUAAAACUAUGGUUUUGAUGUGCUGAUGUCAAAAAUGAUUUUUAAAAAAUGAAAAAACAUCAUUAGCAUGUAUUUCGACACGAAAAGCUAUUUAAAAAGCAACCGCUACCACACUGUCAAACACGCUCAAAGCAAAGGAUUCCACUCGUAGCUAGACUCUUUGAAUUUUCUACUACCAUUAACAAGACUGACACUGAUGGCACUGUUUUUUCCGUAGGGAAGACGUUGCAUGCCAUGACCAUUUCAUUUAUCUAUUUCUCUAUUAUUGUAGAAAAAAAAAAAAGUAUUUCAGAAUCCUUUUUAUUUAAAAUCCUUCCAACCUCAUACCAGCCUAGUCCCAAGUUACAGAGGAAACGCUAACAGCCUAGCACUUUCUGUUAACAUGUAAUUAGUUGAAUUAGAGGGUAGUUUUCUAUAUAUAAAAGACAUACUCUAUAGAAGUCCUGAAAGGAUAUACAUUGCAGUAUUCCUUUCAGAAUAGGAAAGAUGUAACCAACAUAUAUAUUUGCCUAUAUAAGGCAUCCCUCCACAGGAGAAGAAGAAGAUGCAGAGGAUACAUCCAACCCUAAAGCCUUAAAAGUAACAUGGUAUCAGAGCAAGGUUGAAAGCUAAAAUCUUCCUUUAACUUUUCAGCCGCCACAUUAAUCUUCUCCUGGGAAUUGGUCUUGAAACAAGAGACCAACCAUGGAUGACACAAAUACUUCUAUUAUCCCUAUAAACCAAACUUCAUUCUCUGCUGAAACACCUAACCUAAACACCUUACCCUUUGGAUUUAAAUUGAAUGAGACAAACUUCAAAAUCUGGUCACGUAUGCUUGAACUGCAUGCUGCUGGAUUGAACAAACUUGGCUACUUAACUGGGCAGAAUGCUAGAGUGGAAGAAGGAAAUUUUGGUUACUCAAAGUGGUGCACUGAAGAUGCAGUGGUACGAGGAUGGUUGUUGAAAACCAUGGAGCCUCAUCUUAUUGGUUUAUUUAUAGACCUGUCAUCAGCCAAGGAAAUCUGGGAUAGUGUCACUCAAACCUUUUAUGAUGGGGCUGACGAGUCACAAUUCUAUGAGCUACGCUGCAAAGCCACGAGGACGAAACAGAAUGGGCGUCCAGUUAACUUGUAUUACGCAGAGCUGAAUAGUGUAUGGCAGGAAAUUGAUAAGCGACGACCAAUUAAGAUGAUAUGUGCUGCAGAUCUUAGAACCAGACAAGAAGAAAUUCAAAAGGACCGGAUCUAUGACUUUCUUGCAGGUUUGGAUGAAGUUUUUGAUUCAAUACGCAGUGAUCUCCUUCGAAAAAAAUCUGUUCCAAGUAUUGAAGAGUGCUUCAAUACAAUUCGACGGGAGGCUCAGCGACAAGUCACCAUGCUGGGAGCAAAAAACACUGGUGAAGGUUCAUUAAUUGCAAUGAUUUCCAAAUCCACCACCCCUUCUAACAUGCGCACUCUUCGAGCUAUUGAGGAAGCAGAAAAAGACAAGUUGCGUUGCAGCCAUUGUAAUGGAAGUCGCAAUACCAGAGACACUUGUUUUGAGAUUCAUGGCUACCCUGACUGGUUUCUAGAAAAACGGAAGCAAAGUAAAGCAAGAAGUAAUAAACGUCCAGUCCAAGCAAAAUUAACCACUGCAACAAAAAUUCCUUCCAGUUUUGCUGCCAUGGCAAUAAGCAAAAAAAGACCACACUAAACCGGAUGAAUUACUCUCCUUAGCGAAAACUGACCAGACUUCAGCGACAGGUAAAACUGGAGUGGUUUUGUCGACAUCCACGGUUCAUGAUACAGGUUGGAUCAUUGACUCGGGUGCCACAGAUCAUAUGACGUAUAACAAAUCAUUAUUUCAAUACAUGACUCCCCCGUCUAAGGAAAAGGUCAUGACAGCCAAUGGGGAGUCUACCCCAGUCAUUGGAGCAGGAUCAAUUGUUCUAACUCCUGAUCUUUCACUACAUAAUUGUUUACUUGUCCCUGCACUUUCAAAUCAUUUACUGUCUGUUAGUCAAAUUACAGAAGAAUUGGAUUGUGUGGUAUUAAUGUUUCCCACGUUUUGCUUACUUCAGGAUAUCCGGACUCAAGCGAUCAUUGGACGUGGUACUAAGAGGAAGGGGUUAUACUAUGUAGAUGACGUAGCUUCAGGUCACGUCCAUCAAGUUCAGAGUCACAAUGGUAAUAAUCACAAGAAAAUUUGGUUAUGGCAUCGUCGGCUGGGUCAUGCAUCCUUUGGCUACUUAAAAAAAUUAUUUCCUUCCCUCUUUGAUGACAUUCCGGAUCCAAGUUCCUCUCUUAAGUGUAAUGUUUGCAUCUUGGCCAAGAGCCAUCGAACUUCAUAUCCUGUAAACUUGAAUAAAAGAACAAAGCCUUUUGAAUUGAUCCACUCUGAUGUUUGGGGACCUGCUCCAAUUACUUCCCAAUCUGGAAUUCGAUGGUUUCUUACAUUUGUCGAUGAUUGCACCAGAAUGACUUGGUUAUAUACUAUGCGACACAAGAGUGAUGUGCGUAAUAUAUUCCCAAUUUUUUAUCGCAUGGUGUGCACUCAGUUCUCCCUGCCGGUGAAGAUUAUUCGAUCAGACAAUGGUGGAGAAUAUCUUAACUCUGAACUCUUGAGUUUCUUUCAAAACAAUGGUAUUCUCCAUGAGACUACUUGCCCGCGCACUCCACAACAAAAUGGUGUGGCAGAACGCAAAAACAGGCAUAUUCUUGAAACUACUAGAGCUCUUCUCAUUGGUGCCCAUGUCCCUCAACAUUAUUGGGUUGAUGCAGUAACCUAUGCUGUGUAUCUCAUCAACCGGAUGCCAUCCCAAGUCCUCUCCUUCAGCACUCCCUUGCAGACUCUCACUCAACACAUUCAGAUUCCAUCCCUCCUACACUUAGAACCCCGUGUGUUUGGAUGUGUAGCUUAUGUUCACCUGCAGAAAACUCAGCGCACAAAACUGGAACCAUGCGCAGUACGGUGUGUCUUUCUUGGUUUCAAUCCUCACCAAAAGGGAUACCGGUGCUACCAUCCUUCUUCUCGCCAGAUGCAUGUCAGUAUGGAUGUUACCUUCUCUGAAACAGAAUAUUUUUUCCAUAUGAAUCCAUCCAGCUCUAGUCCUCAGGGGGAGCUGCAAUAUGAUGCCUACAACUGGAUUGAUCUUCAGUUGAUUCAGGGAAGGAAACACAGAUUCAGGGGAAGGAAAUACGGAGCAGCAGCAGUCAACUUCAGGGGAAGAAAUGGAAACCAGUACACACACAAUUAGUAAUGUUGGGGAAGGAAAUACAGAGCCCAGCUCCAGAACAACUGCAACGGGCAAUGCAGGGAAAGAACACAUAGAGUACAAUACACAUAGCAGCAGUGAUGCAGAAGAAGAAUACAUGCAUGAUGAAAUAACCCCUUCCUCUCCACAAAUCCAUGUUCAAGAUCGAUCGGAUAUCCAUGAGGUAAGUGACACUGAAAGCCCUUCCUCUUUCCCUUUAUUAUCUGCCCCAUGCUACUCUCCCUCCUAGACAGACAGAACCGUGGAAAGGCCCCUGACAGGUACUCACCGAAUGGAAAAGCAAAAUAUGCAAUCACACAGUAUGUCUCUACACACAAACUACCUCCACAGCAUCAAGCCUUCAUAAGUGAGAUGGCGAAUAUAAGAAUACCUACAAAGGUUGAGGAUGCCUUACAACACCCGAAAUGGGCAGAAGCAAUGGAGGCUGAAAUGAGUGCAUUACAAAGAAAUGACACAUGGAGUAUUGUAUCACUCCCUCCAGGAAAAAAACCAGUGGGCUGCAAGUGGAUAUUCAACCUCAAACAUAGAGCAGACGGCACAAUUGAUCGGUUCAAGGCAAGGCUAGUAGCAAAGGGGUACACACAAUCAUUCGGCAUUGACUAUCAAGAAACUUUUGCUCCAGUUGCAAAAAUGAACACCAUCAGAGUCUUGUUGUCUUUAGCAGCAAAUUUCAGUUGGCCUUUGAAGCAAUUUGAUGUGAAAAAUGCAUUUCUCCAUGGGGAUCUGGAAGAAGAAGUCUAUAUGCAACUUCCACCUGGGUUUAACAGCUCACAAUCUAGUGGAAAAGUGUGUAGAUUACGAAAAGCAUUGUAUGGCUUGAAGCAAUCGCCAAGAGCAUGGUUUGGGAGAUUCACAGAAGCUAUGAAACGAAUUGGUUAUCACCAAGGUAACUCUGAUCACACUCUAUUCAUCAAACAGAAGAAUGGUAAAGUUACACUGCUCAUUAUUUAUGUAGACGAUAUGAUCGUAACUGGUGAUGACACAGAUGAAAUAAAAAAGCUACAAGAAUGUUUGUCUACCGAAUUCGAAAUGAAAGAUUUAGGAGGACUGAAAUAUUUUUUGGGAAUUGAAGUUGCAAGAACUAAAGAUGGUAUAUACUUGUCACAACGAAAGUAUAUACUGGACCUAUUAUCUGAAACGGGUAUGCUAGAAUGCAAACCAGUAGAGUCUCCUAUUGUUCAAAAUCAUCGAUUGGCCAUUCACCCAGAUCAGGUACCAACAAACAAAGAAAGAUACCAGCGAUUGGUAGGGCGGUUAAUUUAUUUAUCUCACACUCGCCCAGACAUUGCCUAUGCGGUUAGUGUGGUAAGUCAGUUUAUGCAUGCUCCAAGUGAAGAUCAUAUGACAGCUGUAAUGAGAAUUCUGAGUUAUCUAAAAGGGGCUCCAGGAAAAGGAUUGACAUUUAAAAGACAUGGAACUAUGGAAGUGAAAGGAUUUACUGAUGCAGAUUGGGCAGGAAAUCUCACUGACCGGAGAUCCACCUCUGGCUAUUUUACAUUUGUUGCAGGAAAUCUUGUCACAUGGCGAAGUAAAAAACAAAAUGUGACAGCAAGGUCCUCAGCAGAAGCAGAAUAUAGAGGGAUGGUACAUGGAAUAUGCGAACUGUUAUGGCUCGGGACCUUACUCACAGAAAUAGGUUUUGAACCCAAAGACCCUAUGUUACUAUACUGUGACAAUCAGGCAGCACGAGAGAUAGCUAAUAAUCCAGUACAGCAUGAUCGAACUAAACACAUUGAGGUAGAUCGACACUUCAUCAAGGAAAAGUUACUUCUAAAGUUAGUGGACAUCCCUUUCGUCAGAUCAAGUGAGCAACUAGCAGAUAUUCUAACCCAUGCAGUCCCUGCAGAAGCUCUUCAUAAGUCUCUAGACAAGUUAGGCUUAGAAGAUAUCUUCGCACCAACUUGAGGGGAAGUGUUAACAUGUAAUUAGCUGAAUUAGAGGGUGGUUUUCUAUAUAUAAAAGACAUACUUUAUAGGAGUCUUUAAAGGAUAUACAUUGCAGUAUUCCUUUCAGAAUAGGAAAGAUGUAACCGACAUAUAUAUUUGCCUAUAUAAGGCAUCCCUCCACAGGAGAAGAAGAAGAUGCAGAGGAUACAUCCAACCCUAAAGCCUUAAAAGUAACACUUUCCACGAAGAAUAUGAAUUUGGAAAAUAAGCCGAAAGAGAGGACUUUGUCUAUGGCCCGUGGAAAAUUAUGACAUUUGAUUGUGAUAUUGCAAAUUGCAGUCCAACGAUCUUAUUUAUAAAGAGAAAUAAUCAAGUUUUUAUAAGUUAAAGCCUCUACUUGGCUAGGCUUUUCUACCUCAAUUUACUUCAUUUCAUUUAGUGUGAGAGAAAUAAAAGUUUUUCAUAAGAUUUAUUGAUCUCAUCGGGAUGUUUGCAAGAAUAUUUUUUAUUUCAUUCAAUCCUGUUUGAUAGAGCUCGAAUCAAGUUUCAUAUCCUAGCUACUUUCAGGUCCAUUUGGUGUCUUUGACAGUCAUGAAAUAUAAUUAUUCUUGCUAAUUUCAAGAUUUUGUUUAACAUAGUUUUAUAUGUAAUCAACCGGUCAAUUGACUCAUCUACUAUUUAUCUUCACAAUCUAUUUUUGUUUUUUUUUCAGUUUUUUUUAGCUUUUGCUUUGUUUUUUUGUUAUUUUUUGUCAAGUAGACUGGGUAGCAAGCAUUUAUACUUCUUGAGGUAUGCUCCUCGUGCUCUAUAUAGUUUCUUCCAUUUAAUACAAUAACUUUUAUCCGAAAAUAAAGAAACAAUUUUGUUUUGCUAUACAUUGCAAGUUUUAAUGUCUAUUUAAUAUGUAUGCUAUGAUUUUAUUUUGAUGAAGAUGAACUUAAUUAUAUAAAAAUGCAAGCAAUCUAAACUAAAUUAUAGAUCGAUAACAACAGUUAUCCAAUUCAAAAAAACCACUCAAAGAUUUGAGCUGAACCAUUACACUAAUGCAAAAUUAUUCAUCAAAGAAAUUUAGAAGUGCAUUUUCAAGGAAACCAAAAAUAAUGGAUACAUGAACCUUGUUCGGUAUACUUCUAGCUAAAACAGGAUAUCAAUCAUCGAUAACUAUCCUCCUCGGUUGCAUUUUAGCUGUCAUAUGGAGAGGAAAACUUUAUCAUCAUAACUAGUAUUAACAUGAAUUAGAUGACUGUUGAUUUCCUGGGUUGGCACUCAAACUUGCAGCGCAUUGUGCAAAUUCUAAAAAAGUGAAUUUACAUAGCCGGAAUAUCUACAAUGUCAUGUGCUUAAGGAGAAUGGCUUCCCAUGGCCUCAACUUAUCAUAUUCCACUUCGAGCAGCUUAGUGAUUUGAAGUUUGAGGAAGCCUGAAAGAACCCCCGGCAUAAAGCAUCUCAUAGACAGGCCUUAUCCUCAUAGUUAGAACUAGUUAUAUGCCCCACGCGACGCCGCGAGUCAAUUAUUUUUUGUAUUUCAAAAAUAGUUAAGAUCUAAAAAUAUUAGGUUUUUUUGCAAAGUUAUACCUAGUAAAACGCAGUGCAGUUCACAGCAAAACACUGAUUCCUUUUAGGUAUAUAUAAUAAUAAUAAUAAUAAUAAUAAUAAUGCUCACGAUGGAGCCCAAACCGCAGGCACCAGCCAGAACCAAGAAGGUGAGCCAUGAUAGCUGAGAAGGAUUAGAAUGGUGAAGGUUAUUCCGCACGGCGACUCUCUACAAAUCUGUCUCCAAGAGCAUGAUUAUUUGCACUUUUGCUAUUUGAUAACAAUAUCAAAGAAGGGAGACAUGAUAGCUGAGAAGGAUUAGAAUGGUGAAGGUUUUGAAAAAAAAUGAAAGAAAGAGUGAAAUUAAUUGAAAUCUUGUUUUCAUUUAACUAUAUUAUUUAAAUUAAUUUGAAUCUUGAUUUUUAUUUAAAUAUAUUAUUAACAAAUAAAAAGACGAUGUUGCUAAGUUAGAAUUGACAUUGGUAGGAUUUGAGAGUUUCUUGAUAAAUAACCUUCUCAAGUUUCACCUGACCCACAAUCCAAGAUUUGCUCCAGAUCAACCUUGGAUAGGGUUCAAAAACCAUGGUGAAAAGUAAAAGGAACGUAACAGAGAGACGAGAGUCAUGUAUGUUACCAGCCAUUGAAUUAAUAUUGAUGUAAAACAAAAACUUGGGAAUUUCCUCGAAGAAUAAACGGGACAAUAAGCCAAAUAAAGAAGAAUGAAUGCAGCAACCUUCUUCUUUGUCAUAGCGUGUAAUUUUCCUCAACCACUAACAAGGCUGACAGCCACUGCAUUAUUUUCGGCCGUAGAGAACACGUCGCGCGCGAUGACCAGUUCAUCUGUCUCUUGUAAAAACUAAGAGUAAAAUGCAAGAUUUUUCAAUGUGUUCUUCAGCGGUCCCCAGAUCUUGGGGUCGGGGUUUCAUCAAUCAACCUGUGGGUUGUAUUAUAAUAGCUUGUUGACAAAUUGGUCUCUCUGUUUUAAAUGCAAAAACAAACAUGUUUUUAAUAGCUGCGGUUAAUUCUUUUUUUAAAUUUUUAUUAUAAAUCGUUGCAAGUUUGACAGAUCUAAUAUUUCAAACCGUCCAAUAACAAAUCUAACAGUAAUAUAAUGGGACUAUAUGACUAGUAAAGGAACUAAUCUACAAAGCAUAAAUGAAAAGAAAUGAUUCGUUCUGUUGCAACUUUGCUCGGUAGAAAUGUUAGAAAAAAAGCAGAGCUGGGCUGCAAGGACAAAGUUGCAGUCUUGUUAAAUUGAAAACAUUUUAUUGCUUUUUUUAUUAUUUGAUAAGUUAAUGUUAAAAAUUUUAAACAAUACUUUAAUAUGUUUUCAAGUAAAAAAAUUUACACCAUAAUAUCAUACAUUUAUUUUAUAUUAAAAUACAAUAUUAAUUAACUAAUUAUAUUAUUAUUAUUAAAUUCAAUUUGACUCAAGAUCAUAUUAUUUUAUUAUUAUUAUUUGAUAAGUUAGUAUUGAAAAUAUAAAAAAUUAAAAAAAUAUUUUAAUAUAUUUUUAAGUAAAAAACAUUUACAUCAUAAUAUCAAACAUGCAUUUUAUAUUAAAAUACAAUAUUAACUAGCUGAUUAUAUUAUUAUUAUUAUUAUUAUUAAAUUCAAUUUGGCUCAACAUCAUAUUAUUUUAAUACCUAUUUCUGACUGAACUUUUAUAUAUAUAUAAAAAGAAACGAUUAGUGAAACCUAAAUGAUUAGACAGUCUUUUUUUUUUUUUAAAUGAAACUAUAUUAUUUUAAUUUUUUUAAAAGAAAUAUUUUGAAUGUCGUAAAUAAAAACAUUAAGAACCCUAUAGAAGAUUUGUAGAACGAACUUUGAAAGAUAUAUUAAAAAAAGAAAAGUGAAAAACCAUUUUGUAAAACCUAUGACCAAGCCAAUGAAAUAAGUGGCAAGAUGCUGGUUUUUCAAAAAUUUCAUUAGUUUUCAAUUUUUUAUUCGAUUUUUUUGGAAUAUUUUCAACAUUCCUCUUGUAAAAAUCUUCGCUGCAGCUUUUGGGGAGUGGUGGUCCACAAAGCAAAGGAUUCCACUCGUAGCUAGACUCUUUGAAUUUUCUACUACCAUUAACAAGACUGACACUGAUGGCACUGUUUUUUCCGUAGGGAAGACGUUGCAUGCGAUGACCAUUUCAUUUGUCUAUUUCUCUAUUAUUGUAGAAAAUAAAAAAAAAGUAUUUCAGAAUCCUUUUUAUUUAAAAUCCUUCCAACCUCAUACCAGCCUAGUCCCAAGUUACGGAGGAAACGCUAACAGCCUAGCACUUUCCACGAAGAAUAUGAAUUUGGAAAAUAAGCCGAAAGAGAGGACUUUGUCUAACAGCCUUUUAAUUGUGAUAUUGCAAAUUGCAAUCCAACGAUCUUAUUUAUAAAGAGCCUCUGACCGUUGUUUUUCGAUACAUAAUUUCAUCGAGGAGUCCAAAUGGGUUUAAACAGGUUCUCUUCUUUAGCAGGGACACUGAUGAUUUAUGCUAUGGUUUUGUCAGAAAGCUGGUGGUCAUGUCACGGGUGCUUAGACGAAGAGACAAGUGCUCUCUUGCGGAUUAAAAGCUCCUUUAGUUACCCAAGCGGCACAUUCCUUCAAUCUUGGGGAAAAGUAGCCGACUGUUGUUCUUGGAAAGGCGUUGACUGCAAUUUCACUACAGGACGAGUUGUCGAACUUGAUCUUCCAGGCAUAAGGGAAGAGGGAUUGGGAGAUUUGUACCUAAAUGUCUCUUUGUUUCGUCCCUUCCAAGAACUGCAAUCUCUUUAUUUAAGUCGAAAUUUUAUAGUUGGCUGUGUUGAGAAUGAAGGUUUAUCUCUUGUUUGCGUGCUACUGCAAUUUCAACAGCAAAAAGAAAGAGAAUAGAUUCUAUAUUUUUCAAGCUACUGAUUGAAAUGCCCAUGCAGGUUUUGAAAGACUAUCCGGACUUGACAGCUUGGAGAUUCUCAAUUUAGACUUUAACAAAUUCGACAACAGCAUACUUUCAUCCCUUGGUGGGCUUUCCUCUUUGAGAAUCCUGUCUCUAUAUGGUAACCAACUCAAAGGAGCAAUUAGUGUUGAUGGUAAUUAAGCUUGAUCACUUCUCUCCUUUUCUUUCUCAAAUAAAACCAUGUUAAUUACUGCCCUUUUUUAAUUGUUGUACUUGGUACAAUUAUAUUUGGCCAGAACUGAAUAAUCUAACAAGCUUGCGGUCGUUGGAUUUUGGUGGCAAUGAAAUUGAAAGCUUUAAAUCCAUUCAUGGUAUGAAAGAGUUGUGAGUUGAUUGAGCAUUUGUUUUCACACAUAAGUACUCCAUUAUCCUUUCAGGUUACAUGAAAGCUUAUGGUAUUUUUAUAGGUACUGGUGACGACUUACUGAGGUUAAGAAAUCUGGAAGAACUUUUUUUGGAUUAUAAUCGCUUUAAUGACAGUGCCUUAUCAUCCCUCAAGGGUCUUUCAUCUCUCAAAUCCCUGGAUAUAGGGUACAACCAACUGAAAGGAUCAUUCAAUGUGACUGGUAACCUCACCUUUUUCGAUUCCUAGAAACCAAUCUAUGAUUUUUGCUGUGAUGUAAUAUUAAAUUUCUGUUUUUCGACAACCUAGAGCUGGAUGCUUUGAUCAACUUAGAGAGCCUGGAUCUAGCGGGAACAAGAUUGACGAAUUUGUGUUAUCCAAAGGUAUUGAUUGCUUUCCACACUGAUUGAUGGUAGCUUUACCUUUAUCAACCUAAAAUCUCAUUAAUUGAAUUGUAUUUUCGAGGAUGAUUUUGCUCAGAAUAAAAGCUCAGAAAGGUUUUAAAAUUUGUUUUACUUCUGCUGUCCCCUGCAGAUACUAGAGGUUUUGGAAAUGUAAGCCUCAUUUCAUUAUCUAAUAGCACCUUAAAUGGAAGAGCUCUUCCAUUUGCAUUGCUGCAAUCGUUGACGAAAUUCCCAAACCUCAAGACCCUUUAUUUGGAUGAGAAUAAUCUUGAAGGAAGUUUCGGAACAACAUUAGAUAAAGGUAAUUUGUGGUACUGAUGCCUAAAAGCGAUCCUGAAUAUCUGUUAAUUGUUCUUUUUUUCUUUGUAAACGUGCUUUAAAUCAUCUUUUCCUAGUUAUAGGAAUUUAAUUGAUUGUAGCGGGGACAUUAUAAUGGAGCUUCUUGUUGGUUUUAUCAUCUUGUUUCCUUAUCAUUAUCCGGCUCUUGAAUACCGAGCAUAAUUUCUUGUGGGUUUGAUUAUUGUAGACUUGGCUUCUCUCAAGAAUUUAGAAGAGUUGGAUUUGAGUUCCUCCACUGUCGAUAAUAGCUUUCUGCAAACAGUUGGGAAGAUUACUACUCUAAAGAGUUUAAGAUUGGAUGACUGUCGACUCAAUGGCUCCAUCCCUAAAGCCAAAGGUAAGUCUGACCACCUCUCCCCUCCUUAGGCGUUCUGCUUCUUCUCUGACUAAAAUUUUUAUGAAUCAAUAAAUUCUCAGGCCUAUGUCAGUUAAAGCAUCUCCAAAAUCUAUAUAUCAGGUGGAAUGAUCUCAGUGGUGCUUUGCCCUGGUGUUUGGCAAAUUUGACAUCCCUUCAAGGAUUAUAUUUGUCUAACAAUAACUUUAUUGGAGACAUUUCCUUCUCUCCUCUUACAAGUCUCACAUCCAUCCGAGAGUUAUCACUUUCAGACAACCACUUUCAGAUCCCUGUCUCAUUGAGCUCAUUUCUCAACCAUUCACAACUCAAGGAUUUCGAUGGUAGGAAUAACAAAAUAUAUGUUGAAGAAUUAGAGGAGCAUAAUUUGGCCCCAAAGUUCCAAUUAGAGCGUCUUAGUUUAUCUGGCAAUGGAUAUGGUGGAGCAUUUUCCUUUCCCAAAUUCCUCCUCCAUCAAUACAGCCUCCAAGAAAUUGAUUUUUCUAACCUGAAAUUGAGGGGAAGGUUUCCUAUUUGGUUGUUAGAGAACAACACAAACCUAAAUUAUCUCCAUUUGGUCAACAAUUCUCUUUCAGGGACUUUUCAAUUGCCAAUUCAUCCUCAUCAGAAUUUGUCUGAAUUAGAUAUUUCUAACAAUAACUUCGAAAGCCACAUUCCUAGAGAAAUAGGAUCAUAUUUUCCAAGUUUAACAUUUUUAUCCAUGUCUGAUAACCACUUCAGUGGUCGCGUUCCCUCUUCAUUUGACUUUCUGUUGUAUCUUCAAGUUUUGGACCUCUCAAAUAACAACAUCUCUGGAACCUUACCAUCUUUCUUUAACUCUUCAAACCUCCUGCAUGUUUAUAUGUCACGAAAUAUGCUACAAGGAUCCCUCGAACAUGCAUUUCAGAAAUCCUUUGAGCUAAUAACGUUGGAUCUUAGCCAUAAUCAUUUGACUGGUAGCAUUCCAAAAUGGAUUGGUGAGUUUUCCCAACUGAGCUUUCUUCUCUUGGGUUAUAAUAAUCUUGAUGGCAGUAUACCCACGCAAUUGUGCAAGUUGAACGAAUUAAGCUUCAUUGAUCUUUCUCAUAAUAAUUUUUCUGGUCAUAUUCUACCUUGCCUAAGAUUUAAAAGCAUUAUUUGGUUCAUCUCCAAAAGAUAUCUUUAUGUUGAUCUUCUAGAACCAUUGGUUAGUGCAACAAAGAGUCUGUCUAUCUUAUCCGCCAGUAUUUUGUACUACAUGACCGGAUUGGAUCUCUCCUGCAACAGUUUGUCAGGUGUGAUUCCUCUGAAAUUGGGAAUCUCAACCACAUUCAUGUAUUGAACCUGUCCAACAAUCAUUUAAUAGGCCCAAUCCCACAAACUCUUUCAAAUUUGAGUGAAGUUGAGAGCUUGGACCUUUCCAAUAACAGCUUGAAUGGGGAAAUCCCUCCUCAACUUGUACAAUUGCAUUUCUUGCCUAUUUUAGUGUAGCCACAAUAACCUGUCUGGUAAGACUCCUGAGAUGGUUGCACAAUUCUCAACAUUCAAUAAGAGCAGCUACGAGGGAAAUCCCUUACUUUGUGGACCACCACUACUUAACAGUUGCACCAAAGAAGUACCACCACCACCACCACCUGGGCCUUCUACUGAUGAGAAAGAAGAGAGUAGUGUCAUCAUUGAUGCACAAGUUUUCUGUGUGAGCUUUGUUGUGACGUACAUCAUGGUGCUGUUGGAAUAGCUGCAGUUUUGUACAUAAACCCAGACUGCGGCGAGCAUGGUUUUAUUUCAUUGAGAAGAGCAUCAACACUUGCUACUACUUUGUUGCGGACAAUCUUCUUAAGCCAUUCGAAUUAGAGUUUGGAAGCCUUUGGUAUAAUAAAUCUCAAUUUUGCAUUGUUUCUACAUUUCAAAGGGAAGAUUUAAAUGGUCGGUCUUAUCUCAUCUCAGUAGUAUAAAGAAUGUCUGAAAAGCUGUGUUCUUUAUAGCAAUGUAAUGAAGAAAAUCAUUUCUUCACAAUUUUGCUUUCAGAAAAUUGAAAAUAUUAAAAGUUUGAUGAUGGAAAAGAAUCAUUGUUCAAAAUAAACAACGCAGUUUCAUAAUAACUAUUUUUUAAAAUAGUGAAUGUCAAAUAUGUUUCAGUUGUUGUUAUUACUAUUACUAUUAUAUAUAAGGGAAGAUUUAUUGAAAUCCAAUUUUUCAGAAAUAUAAUUAAAGAUAUGCACAUUAUAAGAAUUAUAUAAGGAGCAUUUUACGAGAAACAAUAAAAAAGAAAGUAUUUUUGGUAUUUUCAUAUUAUUUUGAUAUGCUAAUAUAAAAAAUAUAUAUUAUUAUAAUAUAUUUUUAAAUAAAAAAUAUUUUAAAAAAUAAUCAUUAAUACACUUUUAAAUACCAUAAUAAUUUAUAGCAUUAUAACUUUGUUUGAGGAAGGGCAAUUAUUUAAAAAUAUUAAAUUGAAAGGCCAAAUAGAUUACUCAUCAUUGGGUUCAUGAUCCCCAAGCCACUCAUAUAUUUCCAAUGUUUUGGUGGACUUCUUUUGAAACUUCAAUGAAUGAAAGGACCCUUUCAGAACUUGGAGGGUUUAAAAUUUUAGCAUGUUAGCAUUUUGUUUUCGUCUACAUUGCAAGUUUUAAUAUCUAUUUAGUAUGAAUUUAAUUAUAUAAAAUUGCCUUGACUCGAAGUCAGCUGAGGAAGUCUAAACCAUCUUUUUUUCAGCAGUCUUCUUAGAUGGCUUUACUGGGUUCUUAAUACACAUGACGAAGAACACACAAUCAUGACGAAGAACACGCGAUGAAUGAAUGCAGCAACCUUCUUCUUCGUCAUAGCGUGUAAUUUUCCACAACCACAAACAAGACUGACAGCCACUGUAUUAUUUUCGGCCGUAGGGAACACGCCGCACGCGAUGACCAGUUCAUCUGUCUCUUGUAAAAUGUAGCAAUAAAAUGCAAGAUUUCUCAAGGUGUUCUUCAGCGGUCCCCAAAUCUUAGGGUCAGGGUUUCAAUCAAUUAACCUGUGGGUUCUAUUAUUAUAGCUUGUUGGCAAAUUGGUCUCUCUGUUUUUAGUUUUUAAAAAAUACAAAAACAAACAUGCUUUUAAUAGCCACAAUGAAUGCUUUUUAAAAUUUUUAUUAUGAAUUGGUUCAAGUUUGACUAAACUAAUGUUUCAUACCGUCCACUAACAAAUCUAACACUAAUCUAACAAAUCUUGAAACAAGAAAAUUUAAAAUCCUAUAUGAAUGGAAUUGUUGAUUUGUAGGAUAAUUUUGAUAUCUCCAAGAGCAUGAUUAUUUGCACUUCUGCUAUUUGAUAACAAUAUCAAAGAAGGGGGACAUGAUAGCUGAGAAGGAUUAGAAUGGUGAAGGUUUUGAAAAAAAAAAUGAAAGAAAGAGUGAAAUUAAUUGAAAUCUUGUUUUCAUUUAACUAUAUUAUUUAAAUUAAUUUGAAUCUUGAUUUUUAUUUAAAUAUAUUAUUAACAAAUAAAAAGACGAUGUUGCCAAGUUAGAAUUGACACUGGUAGGAUUUGAGAAUUUCUUGAUAAAUAACCUUCUCAAGUUUCACCUGACCCACAAUCCAGGAUUUGCUCCAGAUCAACCUUGGAUAGGGUUCAGAAACCAUGGUGAAAAUUUAAAGGAACGUAACGGCCAUUGAAUUAAUAUUGAUGUAAAGCAAAAACUUGGGAAUUUCCUCGAAGAAUCAAUGGGACAAUAAGCCAAAUAAAGAAGACUUUAUUACAUAUGGAAAAUCAUGUGAUGACGACGACCAAUUCCAUCCAAACCACAGGAUCGAUAGCGUGGAAUUGAAUUCCAGUGCCAUACAAGUGGGCUGUUUAUUACAAUUCAUGAACGAACACUUUCUCGACUUUUUCAUUGUAAAAGACAACAGUAAACUAAAUCGAUCUGCUACUACAGCAACAACAAUCAUAAGAUCGAGUGUGUUGAUUCGUCUUGUAGUAUAAAGAGCAGCUUGUACAAAGCCAGUGGUAUACAAUUUAAUUCAUCAAGUAUUUCAAAUGGGUUAAGCAGGUUCUCUAUAGUAGUGAUAAAGCUGAUCUUCAUGGUUUUAUUACCAGGGCGGUGGUGUCAUUUGUGUUUGGAGGAAGAGAGAAUUGCUCCAUUGGAAAUAAAAAAUUUCCUUUUACGCAUUUACGCACAAAUCUUCCAAUUCCCAACCCCUUGUUAACGAAAGAUCGAGCGUGUUGAUUCGUCUUGUAGUAUGAGCAGCUUGAACAAAGCCAGCGGUAUAUUUGUAUACAACCAAAAUUCCUCUAACUACCCAAACGGCGGCGAACACCUGCAAUCUUGGGGAAAAGAAGCCGGCUGUUGUAAUAGGGAAG